AACGAACGCUGGCGGCAUGCCUAACACAUGCAAGUCGAACGGGAUCCGAGCUUCGGUUCGGUGAGAGUGGCGGACGGGUGAGUAACGCGUGGGAACCUGCCCAGUGGUGGGGGAUAACUGCGGGAAACUGCAGCUAAUACCGCAUGAGCCCGAGAGGGGGAAAAGAUUUAUCGCCAUUGGAGGGGCCCGCGUUCGAUUAGGUAGUUGGUGAGGUAACGGCUCACCAAGCCGACGAUCGAUAGCUGGUCUGAGAGGAUGAUCAGCCACACUGGGACUGAGAUACGGCCCAGACUCCUACGGGAGGCAGCAGUGGGGAAUAUUGGACAAUGGGCGAAAGCCUGAUCCAGCAAUGCCGCGUGAGUGAUGAAGGCCUUAGGGUUGUAAAGCUCUUUUACCCGGGAUGAUAAUGACAGUACCGGGAGAAGUAAGCCCGGCGUAACUCCGUGCCAGCAGCCGCGGUAA
RNAcentral lists this ribosomal RNA (462 nucleotides) under uncultured bacterium. RNAcentral describes it as "bacterial SSU rRNA". It matches the Rfam family "Bacterial small subunit ribosomal RNA", at positions 29 to 523 of the family's 1533-position model. The record is from RNAcentral.